GGGGUUGUAGCUCAGUGGUAGAGUGCUUGCUUCACAUGCGUGAGGCACUGGGUUCUAUCCUCAGCACCA
Molecule: transfer RNA, 69 nt
Filed under: Ictidomys tridecemlineatus (thirteen-lined ground squirrel)
Lineage: Eukaryota; Metazoa; Chordata; Mammalia; Rodentia; Sciuridae
Description: Spermophilus tridecemlineatus (thirteen-lined ground squirrel) tRNA
Rfam family: tRNA
About the family: Transfer RNA (tRNA) molecules are approximately 80 nucleotides in length.
Source: Rfam by way of RNAcentral